RNAcentral lists this ribosomal RNA (468 nucleotides) under uncultured bacterium. Its description in RNAcentral is "partial 16S ribosomal RNA". It matches the Rfam family "Bacterial small subunit ribosomal RNA", at positions 28 to 507 of the family's 1533-position model. The record is from RNAcentral.
GACGAACGCUGGCGGCGUGCUUAACACAUGCAAGUCGAACGGAAAGGCCCUGCUUUUGUGGGGUGCUCGAGUGGCGAACGGGUGAGUAACACGUUAGUAACCUGCCCUUUACUUAGGGAUAACUUCAGGAAACUGGGGCUAAUACCUGAUAGGAGCUCCUACUGCAUGGUGGGGGUUGGAAAGUUUCGGCGGUUGGGGGUGGACUCGCGGCUUAUCAGCUUGUUGGUGGGGUAGUGGCUUACCAAGGCUUUGACGGGUAGCCGGCCUGAGAGGGUGACCGGCCACAUUGGGACUGAGAUACGGCCCAGACUCCUACGGGAGGCAGCAGUGGGGAAUAUUGCACAAUGGGCGGAAGCCUGAUGCAGCAACGCCGCGUGCGGGAUGACGGCCUUCGGGUUGUAAACCGCUUUCGCCUGUGACGAAGCGUGAGUGACGGUAAUGGGUAAAGAAGCACCGGCUAACUACGUG